UCACGUAUCCACGUACAAACCACUGUGAACUGUUCUCCCUUUCGGAGGUGCUGGGUUUGGCUAGAUCAAUAUCGCUCCGCUGUCGUGAUAGAAGUGUGGUCUAGCCGUUCCUGAACUCGCUUCAGGACGCCUGUAUCUUUGAAAGCGGUUAUUAUCACGCAACCUUAACCUUUAUUAACCCCUUUAACCUUUAUGAACUGAAAUUAAGCUUGAUGCGAAGGAGUGCCUCGGCAUUCUUGAAGUCAAGUCUUUAUUACGAAACUAAGAA
This 268-nucleotide unclassified non-coding RNA is filed under the name soil metagenome. RNAcentral's name for it is "partial internal transcribed spacer 1". The record is from RNAcentral.